GGCUCACCAAGGCAACGAUGCGUAGCCGACCUGAGAGGGUGAUCGGCCACACUGGGACUGAGACACGGCCCAGACUCCUACGGGAGGCAGCAGUAGGGAAUCUUCCGCAAUGGACGAAAGUCUGACGGAGCAACGCCGCGUGAGUGAUGAAGGUUUUCGGAUCGUAAAGCUCUGUUGUUAGGGAAGAACAAGUACCGUUCGAAUAGGGCGGUACCUUGACGGUACCUAACCAGAAAGCCACGGCUAACUACGUGCCAGCAGCCGCGGUAAUACGUAGGUGGCAAGCGUUGUCCGGAAUUAUUGGGCGUAAAGGGCUCGCAGGCGGUUUCUUAAGUCUGAUGUGAAAGCCCCCGGCUCAACCGGGGAGGGUCAUUGGAAACUGGGGAACUUGAGUGCAGAAGAGGAGAGUGGAAUUCCACGUGUAGCGGUGAAAUGCGUAGAGAUGUGGAGGAACACCAGUGGCGAAGGCGACUCUCUGGUCUGUA
Molecule: ribosomal RNA, 485 nt
Filed under: Bacillus licheniformis
Lineage: Bacteria; Bacillati; Bacillota; Bacilli; Caryophanales; Bacillaceae
Description: bacterial SSU rRNA
Rfam family: Bacterial small subunit ribosomal RNA
Source: RNAcentral